RNAcentral lists this ribosomal RNA (254 nucleotides) under Stegodexamene anguillae. RNAcentral's name for it is "partial 16S ribosomal RNA". It matches the Rfam family "Bacterial large subunit ribosomal RNA", at positions 2058 to 2597 of the family's 2925-position model. The record is from RNAcentral. Lineage: Eukaryota; Metazoa; Platyhelminthes; Trematoda; Plagiorchiida; Lepocreadiidae.
GACUCCGGCUAUCUUUAAUAAGACGGAAAGACCCCGAGAGCUUUAUACUUUGUAUUUACUUGGGGCAAGGGCAUCUUGUUUAUAUGUUUUUUGAUCCUUUUGUUGGAUUAGAGGGUUAAGUUACCUCGGGGAUAACUAGGUAAGAGAUGAGGAGAGAUCGCAUCGAUUCAUCUGUUUGCCAUCUCGAUGUUGACUUGGGGUUGUUGUAUAGGUGUAGGAGUUUAUAUAAUAGGUCUGUUCGACCUGUGAGCCUC